AACGAACGCUGGCGGCAUGCCUAACACAUGCAAGUCGAACGAGAUCUUCGGAUCUAGUGGCGCACGGGUGCGUAACGCGUGGGAAUCUGCCCUUGGGUUCGGAAUAACAGUGAGAAAUUACUGCUAAUACCGGAUGAUGUCUUCGGACCGAAGAUUUAUUGCCCAGGGAUGAGCCCGCGUAGGAUUAGCUAGUUGGUGGGGUAAUGGCCUACCAAGGCGACGAUCCUUAGCUGGUCUGAGAGGAUGAUCAGCCACACUGGGACUGAGACACGGCCCAGACUCCUACGGGAGGCAGCAGUGGGGAAUAUUGGACAAUGGGCGAAAGCCUGAUCCAGCAGUGCCGCGUGAGUGAUGAAGGCCUUAGGGUUGUAAAGCUCUUUUACCAGGGAUGAUAAUGACAGUACCUGGAGAAUAAGCUCCGGCUAACUCCGUGCCAGCAGCCGCGGUAA
Molecule: ribosomal RNA, 449 nt
Filed under: uncultured bacterium
Lineage: Bacteria
Description: partial 16S ribosomal RNA
Rfam family: Bacterial small subunit ribosomal RNA
Source: RNAcentral